UCUACAGUUGGUUGCAUAUCAUCAGCAAGUGGAAGCAGACCACUUGCUAAGAAACCACGGGUAAAUUUCUAAACAUGAUUUAACUGCUUGGGAAUGAUCUGAUUCCAAUGGGAAUUCAGGGUGUCUUGUUCUGGGCCUAGUCGGUAGUGCAAAUGUGUAAGUCCAUAGUAUGCUCUCUGUUGGCUGUUAAGGAUGCAGAGAAGCAGCCACCGACCGACCUUGAUCUUUGCCCUGUAAGCAUGUGUAGAUGGGAAAAUCCAUGUGUAACAAGGUCUUUCCCCCAGCAAGGAACAGAAAGGGCACAGACUUAUUGCUGGCCUUUGCUUUGCAUGGGUUUUCAGUGGAGGAUUUUCAAGAACACACAGAAGCACGUGCUCAGCUUUUUCCAAAACAACAUUAGAAAUCUGUAUCUUCUGAAGUAGUCAGUGUUCUUUGUCUUAUUCACACAGGAAAACUGUGUAAACAAGUAUAGAGUUGACUGUUGAACAAUCUGGAUUUGAACUGCAUGGCUCCACUUAACAGAAGAAUUUUUUUAAGUAGUAAAUAACACAGUAUUACCUGAUCUGUCUUUGGUUGAAUCUAUGGUUGGUUGAAUCUGUGGGUGCAGAAUCGAGGACACAGAGGACCGACUAUAAGUUACACACAGAAUUUCAACUGCACAGAGGGUCAGUGCCCCUAACCUCCUUAUUCCUCUUUUUGAUUUGGCUACCAGGGGCUUCAAAACCAAGUGUAAAGUCUAAUAACUCAGUAAAAACACACAUGGAGCUCCUAUUCCACGUCAAGCACCGUGAAAGUGCUGGUGGUUCUGAACUCAAGGACACAGUGUCAGCUUUCCAGCAAAAGUAUUUGGGCUCCAAAUGGGGAAGGAAUGAUUUCUUGCCUCCUCGAUCCCCAUGCUUUGGCUGCUUGCCGUGGAAGGGGAGAGCCCAGCUUUUCCCAUGGAACAUAACCCGUCUCCACUAAACUUAUUAGCACUAGAAAGGAGGUGGCUCAUUUUCCUCGUAAGUGGAGACAAAGGCUGCUGUUGUCCCAGGUGAAGGGCUUUUGAUGACUUGAUUAGCGCACAGCCUGGCCUGUGCUGAUGUUCGGAUGGAGACCAUCAGAUAUAAUCUGCCGCCUCAUUAGGCUGACACCGUGCCUGCCCCCUCUUGUAAUAAUGUCACCGGAGCACUUAAUAACCUAGGUAAGUGCUAUAAGCCUACACUGCAGAGGUAACCCCGGGUCAGCAGCGACAGAUGCUCUAAAAAGCAGUUGUUUUCUCAUUCUCGGCUCUAUUUAAAAUGUAACAAGCCAAGAGGUAUAAUAAAUGGGCAGAUUUAAAUAUCAGAGGAGCAGAACUUGCUACAAUAUAACUAUUUUUAUCUCUGAUUUGAAUAUGCAGGUUUUUAGGAUUGAGGGGAUGAUGCAAUAAAUUGGCUGAUGGCCAUGGCCUUAUGGAAGAGUUCAUUUAUUGUAGACAAGAGAAGGCAGAGAGGGGCCCUUAAGUAUUUAAAGAUACAUAAGAUGGAGAGUAUUUAUGAACUCUUCUCCAGAGAAAACAGGAGAAAUCUAAAUCUUACAUUGAUUCAAAGAGCAAUUAGGUUAGACUGCAAGAAGAACUUGCUGGAUAGAGACUGGAAAAGCCCAUGUGUGAGUGGAGUAGGCUUCCAUGUUUUAUACUGACAUCUAUGUGUAUAUGUAGUAUUUAAUAGUAGGCACUUAUUUUCUUUCUCAGAAUUGGAUUCCAGAAACUGUUGGGCUGUUACUAGGCUGUGUACCAGUUCAUAAAAUAUAUAACAUGCCCCGAGAGACCCAUAUGGAUGUGGCAGGAAUUGGACAGGUCAUUCUAUAUUUCGUGGGUUACAAGGAUGUGUGGGGAAGAGCUGGGGACAAUGGAGCCUCUGUUUUGGUGCCUUACAACUAACACCAUCUUCUCUCUGGGUCAGACCUGGCCAACUAUGGCACUGGGUAAGCUUACGACUCAAGGCAUCACAGGGUGUGCGGCUUCCUUAAAAAACCAAAAUGGGUAGGGUGGGGGAGGUGCCUUCAAAGCAGAACUGUCUGCAAUCAGCAAAGUGGAAAGACUACUUUCUGUCCCUGUGCUUCUCUGACAUAGGUGAGCACUCUUUCUCUGGUAAGCGAAGCCCAGAGAAGGUAAGUGGAAGAAGUCCAACAGAGAGCUGAAUUUGAUAGAGGUCAAGGGUGUCCCUCCAGGGGAAGGGGAGCCAAAUCCUUGGUCCUUAAAAUAACUCACCUACUGGGCCAUGAGGGCCGAGGUCCCUCCCAUAUGCUUAGAUUCAGAUAACUUCAUUGAACUUAUCCUUUUUUUUUUAAAUGGCCACACUCACUACACAUGCAAGUUCCAGGACCAGGGAUUGUAUCUGAGCCACAGCUGUGACCUACGCCACAGAUGUGGCAAUGCAGGAUCCUUAACCCCACUGCGCCAGACUGAGGAUUGAACCCACACCUCUGCAGUGACCCAAGCCACUGCAGUGGGAUCCUUAACCCACUGUGCCAGAGCGGGAACUCCAUCAUUGAACUUAUCCUUGCCUUAAGAAUACUUCUGUAGCAUUGGGUUUUUAUUCCUCAUAUUGUAGGGAAAGGUUUUCCCUAACUUUUGCAAUUGGAUGACCAAGAAAAUAAAUGCUAAUUUUGAACCCGUAGCAUGUUAGCCAGGUGAAUUUCAACAAAAUCCAGUAUCAAGGUACAAGUUCUUUCUCCACUAUUGAGUCUGCUCUCCAGAGAGAACUUUUCUCCAUUUGCCCUAUCUUUGAACAUGGGCUAGGCACAAAAGACAAGAAAAAGCUGCAGUUUGAAAAAAUAAACCUAUGUUAGAUGGGGUUGGGCUAAAACAUAAAGACAGCUAUGCUGUAGGUUUUUCAUCUGUAAAUUGUAUCUAACUUAGGCCACAUGCAUUUAUUUCGUGCCUUCGUAUGCUACCAGGUAUUGUGUAUAGCAGUAGACUUUGCCCUCUUGGGGCUCACUUUUUCUAAUGUGGGAAGCAAACAAAGAAGCAAUGAAAAUUAUGUUAAGGUAGUGAUAAGUGAUUGAAAAAGAAAGAAAGGUAAGGAGAUAGAUCUGAGUGAAUCCAAGGAGUAAGCUACAUGACUGCCUGGGGGAAUGGUGUAGGAGGGAUGCAGGAGUGGGAGUGCACGUGGAAUCUUUCCAGGAAAAAGGAACAACACCUGCCAAGGUCUGUAGGGCUAGAAUUUGCGUGAUAUGUCCUUUGAAAGUGGGAAGGGGGACAGAUCAGAAGGGUAGCCAGGAUUCAUCAAGAUGGCUUGCCAUGAAAUGAAGAAGUCUUCCAUUUGUUUGUACUGGUUUUGCCCUGCAGUUUUUGAGCACUUUUACAUGUGCCACUCAGGUAAUGAACCUCUUGAAAACCUUGUUGAUUGUGUUUGCUGGUUUAAUUGCACAGACAUGUUUGCCCUUGACAGUUCAUCAAUAAAGGAAUUUAAAGGGAAUGUGCAAAGGAAUUUAGAAUAUCUGCAGUUUAUUAGGCUUAUCACUAGAGAGUUCAUUUUCUUUAGAUGCUGUAUUUGAAACGAAUGAAUAAAAUGACUAGAGCCUUUUUGCCUGCUUAUUAUUUGAAUAGUUAUAUGAACAUGGUUAAAAUGCAGAUAUUUCCUUUUAGUUAGAAUAAGUCUUCCCUGUCUCCCAGUACUUAUAGAAGUAACUGUUGUCAGCGGAUUCUGUUAGCGUAUGUUUCUAGAGUGAAAAUAAAUACCCCUUCCCUCUAUAAAAAAUUAACGAGCAUGACUAUUAACAUUGCUUCUCAUCCUGAAGAUCUUGGAGUUCUUCAAUAUCAUAAGCAUGGUGUUGCCCCAUCCUUGUUAUAUGCAGUUAUCCAAGAAGACCACAAUUUAAUCAUUCCCACAUUGAUGGACAUUGAGGUUUUUCUGUCUUUUCCUGUAACAAUCAAUACUGUGAUGAAAAUCCUUGUACACUCUGCUUUGCACACAUGUUAAGUGUCUCUGUAGGAAAAAUAUUCCAGGAAUGAAUUGGUGGACAAGGGGGAAAUAGGUAUUUUUAAUUUUGCCAUAUAUUGCCAAAUUAAAACAAUUUAGACUUCUACCUUGGCUAGGAGUCCAUAUUUUUUCACAUCCUAACCAAUGCUUUUAUUACCCUUCUUUUGUAUUUGCAAAAUAAGCAAAAAAUACUUUUUAUUGUAGUUUUUUAUUUCUCUUAGAAUGAAGUUGACAUCAGAGAUGAAUAGUGGUGUAUUUUGGUCAAGGGAAUAUUGUCUGACCAUGAUUCUUUGGAAUAUAUGAGGACUUCUUAUAAACCUAGUACGUGGAUAAUUUUGUAAAUGGUCUCAUAUGUUGAAGAAAAAAAGAAAAUAUGAAUUCUGUUUGUUGAGAAUAGGGUUUCAAACGUAUUUUGGAAUUACUCUUGCUAGUUAAAUUGUUCACAUUUUCUAUAGCCCUAUUUUUUCCCACACCUGUUCUCAGAUUCCUUCUUUUAGAAGAGAACAUCUCCCACUCUAUGGGUUUUUCCAUUUGGCCUUAGAGUUGUCAGCUUUCACUUGACAUUUUUGUAGAUGAUGUUUAGGAAUAUUAUAGUUAUUUCUUCUUGAUGCAUUGCAUGCACAAAUUGUCCCUUUUUGUCUAUGAUAUUAAUACUGCUACACCAGGUUUUUCUCUUUUUAGGUGGUGUUUGGUGUAUCUUUGAUUUUCUGUAUUCUUUAUACAUUUCUAUCAUUUUGUUCUAGAGAUGUCAUUUGAAAACUGUAAAUGAAUCAGAUUUGUAGACACAUUCAGCAUUUGAUAUUCUAAUACAUGAAUUUCAUUAUGUCCAUAAUUUUUGAACUACUGGUAUGUUUGAAUUUAUUUCUGCUGUUAUUUUAUAUUAUGUAAAACCUUUCUUUCCUGUUAAAAAUUGUCUGCCUUCUAUAGGAUUAAUCCAAUUUUAUUUUUCCUUUCCCUUCUACCUAUUUGGAAGCUGGUUUAGUUUUCUAAGGCUCCUGUAACAAAGUGCCACCGGCUAGGUGGCUCAAAACUGUAGAAAUGUAUUUCUCUCACAGUUCUAGAGACUAGGAGUCUGAAAGCAAGGUGUCUGCAGGGCUAUACUCCUCUGAAACCUCUUUGUA
This 5068-nucleotide long non-coding RNA is filed under the name Sus scrofa (pig). Its description in RNAcentral is "lncRNA (ENSSSCG00000045927.1)". Lineage: Eukaryota; Metazoa; Chordata; Mammalia; Artiodactyla; Suidae. The record is from RNAcentral.